This 509-nucleotide ribosomal RNA is filed under the name uncultured Alphaproteobacteria bacterium. Its description in RNAcentral is "bacterial SSU rRNA". It matches the Rfam family "Bacterial small subunit ribosomal RNA", at positions 342 to 869 of the family's 1533-position model. Lineage: Bacteria; Pseudomonadati; Pseudomonadota; Alphaproteobacteria. The record is from RNAcentral.
CGGGAGGCAGCAGUGGGGAAUCUUAGACAAUGGGCGCAAGCCUGAUCCAGCCAUGCCGCGUGUGUGAUGAAGGCCUUAGGGUCGUAAAGCACUUUCGCCAGAGAUGAUAAUGACAGUAUCUGGUAAAGAAACCCCGGCUAACUCCGUGCCAGCAGCCGCGGUAAUACGGAGGGGGUUAGCGUUGUUCGGAAUUACUGGGCGUAAAGCGCACGUAGGCGGAUUAGWCAGUCAGRGGUGAAAUCCCAGGGCUCAACCCUGGAACUGCCUYUGAUACUSCUAGUCUUGAGUUCGAGAGAGGUGAGUGGAAUUCCGAGUGUAGAGGUGAAAUUCGUAKAUAUUCGGAGGAACACCAGUGGCGAAGGCGGCUCACUGGCUCGAUACUGACGCUGAGGURCGAAAGUGUGGGGAGCAAACAGGAUUAKAUACCCUGGUAGUCCACACCGUAAACKAWGAAUGCCAGYCGUCGGGCAGUAUACUCUUCGGUGACACACCUAACGCAUUAAGCAUUC